RNAcentral lists this long non-coding RNA (319 nucleotides) under Salvia miltiorrhiza (redroot sage). Its description in RNAcentral is "long non-coding RNA (SMIL_LNC010212)". Lineage: Eukaryota; Viridiplantae; Streptophyta; Magnoliopsida; Lamiales; Lamiaceae. The record is from RNAcentral.
UGUGCUACGAUUACACUGUUUAGUUGCAGUUAUUGUUGUUAAGAAAUUAGAGAUCAACUUUUUGGCGCCGUUGCCGGGGACUGUUAAGAAGUUGCUUUAAUAUUUUCGAUAGGACUUUAUAGUACUACAUGUUUUUUUAUUUGUUUUUNAUUUUUCUGUUCUAACUUUUAAGUGGUGUGUUUUGUAGGUUACAUAUGAACACAAGAUCUCACGGUAAUCCUCUUUUUGAGUUGGAUCCUGAAAUCAACGCUACUUUACGCAAUCUCAAGAAGCAGAAGAAUCAAGUUGAGCCGGAUACGAUGGCUACUCCUGAGCAAAU